This 426-nucleotide ribosomal RNA is filed under the name uncultured bacterium. Its description in RNAcentral is "partial 16S ribosomal RNA". It matches the Rfam family "Bacterial small subunit ribosomal RNA", at positions 360 to 777 of the family's 1533-position model. The record is from RNAcentral.
AAUAUUGGACAAUGGGCGCAAGCCUGAUCCAGCCAUGCCGCGUGUGUGAAGAAGGCCUUAUGGUUGUAAAGCACUUUAAGCGAGGAGGAGGCUACUUUAGUUAAUACCCAGAGAUAGUGGACGUUACUCGCAGAAUAAGCACCGGCUAACUCUGUGCCAGCAGCCGCGGUAAUACAGAGGGUGCAAGCGUUAAUCGGAUUUACUGGGCGUAAAGCGCGCGUAGGCGGCUAAUUAAGUCAAAUGUGAAAUCCCCGAGCUUAACUUGGGAAUUGCAUUCGAUACUGGUUAGCUAGAGUGUGGGAGAGGAUGGUAGAAUUCCAGGUGUAGCGGUGAAAUGCGUAGAGAUCUGGAGGAAUACCGAUGGCGAAGGCAGCCAUCUGGCCUAACACUGACGCUGAGGUGCGAAAGCAUGGGGAGCAAACAGGA